GGGGACAGGAAGUACUUGCCCAACAAAACUCAGGAGGAUAAUUAAAAAGGGAAAGGUGGCUAGGCUGGAGAUCAGGGACUUCAGCCUCAGCCAGGACCAUGGAGACAUCCAGAGAAGUGGAGAGGAUGGGAAGGAUAACCCCAGGAUAACCCCAGCCCAGUGCUGAUGGCUGCCAUGCUCUCCUGUGACUGUGACCAGCAUAGGGCUCCCAUGAAAUUCAUCCAAUUCAGCAGGGCAAGAGGAAAACAGAAGGCCCUGGAGGGCUGAGCUUUUUCAUUCCUCAGCCCCUUCACCUCCCACGGUUUGCGUACUGCUUUUGUAAGGCCUUUGCUUGGCCAGGCUGGACUGCUUUGUGACUCUGCCUGUUCUGUCUGGACAAGAAAUAAAGGCUUAUGGAUUGGA
Molecule: long non-coding RNA, 402 nt
Organism: Haemorhous mexicanus (house finch)
Lineage: Eukaryota; Metazoa; Chordata; Aves; Passeriformes; Fringillidae
Exons: 2
Source: RefSeq, a predicted model, not a curated record